GACAACGUGGCCGAGUGGUUAAGGCGUUUGACUCGAAUGUACUCGUAUCAUUUGAGCAUAUCAAAUUUCUUCGGAAGCACAGGUUCGAGUCCUGUCGUUGUCG
This is a non-coding RNA of Delitschia confertaspora ATCC 74209, 103 nucleotides long. The record is from the annotation of a GenBank genome assembly. Lineage: Eukaryota; Fungi; Ascomycota; Dothideomycetes; Pleosporales; Delitschiaceae.